CUCUCAUAAUUCCCAAUCCCUCUUCUCACGCGGCGACGCCGACUCCGGCUCGGACGAAAACGCGAAGGAGUUUAGGGCAUCCCUCCGACGGCCGACGAAGGCUUCCUUCCGACGAACCUUGCUGAUUACAAGAUCUUCUCGCCGAGGAGAAGCUGUGAGCACAAGAAAGGGACCGAGAUUUUCAUCUCUCCGAACCCUAGAGUUCUUCCCGUCGGUUGUAAGUUCAAGCAAAUCACGAUAAAGGAAAAGCUAAAGUAUGAGGAAGAAGGCGACAAGGAGAUGCUGUGACGGUGUGUGAUGUGUGGACUAUGGAGAUCCUUGAGACUUAGCUUAGAAAAAUUUAUUAAAAUUGCUUCCGUCGAAUUGUUAAAAGAAUUUAGAACUUGUAUAUGCUAUUUUCAUUGAUAGAGUUAUUUAUUUCA
Molecule: long non-coding RNA, 422 nt
Organism: Zingiber officinale
Lineage: Eukaryota; Viridiplantae; Streptophyta; Magnoliopsida; Zingiberales; Zingiberaceae
Exons: 2
Source: RefSeq, a predicted model, not a curated record